CACUUAGUGGCGAACGGUGAGUAACGCGUGAGAAACCUGUCCUUCAGUGGGGACAACAGUUGGAAACGACUGCUAAUACCGCAUAACGUAUUUUGGGGGCAUCCCUGAAAUACCAAAGCUUUAUGUGCUGAAAGAUGGUCUCGCGUCUGAUUAGCUAGAUGGCGGGGUAACGGCCCACCAUGGCGACGAUCAGUAGCCGGUCUGAGAGGAUGAACGGCCACAUUGGGACUGAGAUACGGCCCAGACUCCUACGGGAGGCAGCAGUGGGGAAUAUUGGGCAAUGGGGGAAACCCUGACCCAGCAACGCCGCGUGAAGGAAGAAGGCCUUCGGGUUGUAAACUUCUUUUAGCAGGGACGAAUACGUGACGGUACCUGCAGAAAAAGCAACGGCUAACUACGUG
RNAcentral lists this ribosomal RNA (401 nucleotides) under uncultured bacterium. RNAcentral's name for it is "bacterial SSU rRNA". It matches the Rfam family "Bacterial small subunit ribosomal RNA", at positions 89 to 507 of the family's 1533-position model. The record is from RNAcentral.